GUCUGUGUGUGUUUGUGUGUGUGUGUGUGUCUGACUGUGUGUGUGUGUGUGUGUGUCUGACUGUGUAUGUGUGUGUGUUUGUGUCUGACUGUGUCUGUGUAUGUGUCUGACUGUGUGUGUGUGUGUGUGUGUGUUUGUGUAUGUGUCUGACUGUGUGCUGACUGUGUAUGUGCGUUUGUGUCUGACUGUGUCUGUGUAUGUGUCUGACUGUGUGUGUGUGUGUGUUUGUGUAUGUGUCUGACUGUGUGUGUGUGUGUGUGUGUGUGUGUGUGUGUGUCUGUCUGUGUGUGUGUGUGUUUGUGUCUGACUGUGUGUGUGUGUAUUU
Non-coding RNA from Pelobates cultripes (western spadefoot toad), 325 nucleotides. The record is from the annotation of a GenBank genome assembly. Lineage: Eukaryota; Metazoa; Chordata; Amphibia; Anura; Pelobatidae.